RNAcentral lists this ribosomal RNA (253 nucleotides) under uncultured bacterium. Its description in RNAcentral is "partial 16S ribosomal RNA". It matches the Rfam family "Bacterial small subunit ribosomal RNA", at positions 524 to 776 of the family's 1533-position model. The record is from RNAcentral.
UACGUAGGGUGCGAGCGUUAAUCGGAAUUACUGGGCGUAAAGCGUGCGCAGGCGGUUUUGUAAGCCGGAUGUGAAAUCCCCGGGCUUAACCUGGGAAUGGCAUUCGGGACUGCAAGGCUGGAGUGCGGCAGAGGAGACUGGAAUUCCUGGUGUAGCAGUGAAAUGCGUAGAUAUCAGGAGGAACACCGAUGGCGAAGGCGGCCUGCUGGGGUGGAGCUGACGCUGAGGCGCGACAGCGUGGGGAGCAAACAGG